ACGUAGGGUGCAAGCGUUAAUCGGAAUUACUGGGCGUAAAGCGUGCGCAGGCGGUUAUGCAAGACAGAUGUGAAAUCCCCGGGCUUAACCUGGGAACUGCAUUUGUGACUGCAUAGCUGGAGUACGGCAGAGGGGGAUGGAAUUCCACGUGUAGCAGUGAAAUGCGUAGAGAUGUGGAGGAACACCGAUGGCGAAGGCAGCCCCCUGGGUCAACACUGACGCUCAUGCACGAAAGCGUGGGGAGCAAACAGGA
This 253-nucleotide ribosomal RNA is filed under the name uncultured prokaryote. Its description in RNAcentral is "partial 16S ribosomal RNA". It matches the Rfam family "Bacterial small subunit ribosomal RNA", at positions 525 to 777 of the family's 1533-position model. The record is from RNAcentral.